GGUGAACGCUGGCGGCGUGCUUAAGACAUGCAAGUCGAACGGCUCAUUUCGGUGAGCAGUGGCGCACGGGUGAGUAACACGUAGCUGACCUGCCCCAAAGUCCCGCAUAACAGCCCGAAAGGGCUGCUAAUAGGGGAUGUGCUUGCUGGUUGUGACUGGCAAGUAAAGGUUUACCGCUUUGGGAUGGGGCUGCGGCCCAUCAGCUCGUUGGUGAGGUAACGGCUCACCAAGGCGACGACGGGUAGCCGGCCUGAGAGGGUGGCCGGCCACAGGGGCA
RNAcentral lists this ribosomal RNA (277 nucleotides) under uncultured bacterium. Its description in RNAcentral is "partial 16S ribosomal RNA". It matches the Rfam family "Bacterial small subunit ribosomal RNA", at positions 28 to 318 of the family's 1533-position model. The record is from RNAcentral.